Molecule: ribosomal RNA, 442 nt
Filed under: uncultured bacterium
Lineage: Bacteria
Description: partial 16S ribosomal RNA
Rfam family: Bacterial small subunit ribosomal RNA
Source: RNAcentral
CCUACGGGAGGCUGCAGUGGGGGAUAUUGCACAAUGGGGGGAACCCUGACGCAGCGACGCCGCGUGGGUGAAGGAGUGCUUCGGCAUGUAAAGCCCUAUCGGCAGGGAAGAAGCAAGACGGUACCUGACUAAGAAGCCCCGGCUAACUACGUGCCAGCAGCCGCGGUAAUACGUAGGGGGCGAGCGUUAUCCGGAUUCACUGGGUUUAAAGGGUGCGUAGGCUGUGAGGUAAGUCAGCGGUGAAAUGCCCCCGCUCAACGGGGGGAAGUGCCAUUGAUACUGCCUUGCUGGAAUGCGGAUGCGGUAGGAGGAAUGUGUGGUGUAGCGGUGAAAUGCAUAGAUAUCACGCAGAACACCGAUUGCGAAGGCAUCUCACGGAUCCGCGAUUGACGCUGAUGCACGAAAGCGUGGGGAUCAAACAGGAUUAGAUACCCCAGUAGUC